RNAcentral lists this non-coding RNA (45 nucleotides) under Schistosoma mansoni. The record is from RNAcentral. Lineage: Eukaryota; Metazoa; Platyhelminthes; Trematoda; Strigeidida; Schistosomatidae.
AUCCAGCUGACGAGUCCCAAAUAAGACGAAACUCGGGUCAUGGAU